AAUCUUGCGCAAUGGAGGGAACUCUGACGCAGCGACGCCGCGUGAACGAUGAAGGUCUUCGGAUCGUAAAGUUCUGUCCUCAGGGAAGAAGGUCACUUAACGUGACUUGACGGUACCUGUGGAGGAAGCCCCGGCUAACUACGUGCCAGCAGCCGCGGUAAUACGUAGGGGGCAAGCGUUGUCCGGAAUUAUUGGGCGUAAAGGGCACGCAGGCGGUUAUUUAAGUCUGAUGUGAAAUCUUGUGGCUUAACCACAAGCGGUCAUUGGAAACUGGAUAACUUGAGUACAGAAGAGGAGAGUGGAAUUCCACGUGUAGCGGUGAAAUGCGUAGAGAUGUGGAGGAACACCAGUGGCGAAGGCGGCUCUCUGGUCUGUAACUGACGCUGAGGUGCGAAAGCGUGGGUAGCGAACA
Molecule: ribosomal RNA, 412 nt
Filed under: uncultured bacterium
Lineage: Bacteria
Description: partial 16S ribosomal RNA
Rfam family: Bacterial small subunit ribosomal RNA
Source: RNAcentral